CCAAUAGCGUAUAUUAAAGUUGUUGCAGUUAAAAAGCUCGUAGUUGAACUUCGGGGUUUACCCAUUGGUCAGGCUUAAUUGUCUGAACUGGUGAGAUAAAUCUCUACCUUCUGAGGAACUUUCAUGUCAUUAAUUUGGUGUGAUUGGAAAUCAGGACUGUUACUUUGAAAAAAUUAGAGUGUUUAAAGCAGGCUAACGUCUGAAUACAUUAGCAUGGAAUAAUGAAAUAGGACGGACUGAUUCUAUUUCGUUGGUUUCUAGGAUCACCGUAAUGAUUAAUAGGGAUAGUUGGGGGCAUUAGUAUUCAAUUGUCAGAGGUGAAAUUCUUGGAUUUAUUGAAGACUAACUACUGCGAAAGCAUUUGCCAAGGAUGUUUUCAUUAAUCAAGAACGAAAGUUAGGGGAUCGAAGACGAUCAGAUACCGUCGUAGUCUUAACCAUAAACUAUGCCGACUAGGGAUCGGACGAAGUUAAUUUUAUAAUGACGCGUUCGGCACCUUACG
This 502-nucleotide ribosomal RNA is filed under the name uncultured Glomeromycotina. Its description in RNAcentral is "partial small subunit ribosomal RNA". It matches the Rfam family "Eukaryotic small subunit ribosomal RNA", at positions 591 to 1092 of the family's 1831-position model. The record is from RNAcentral. Lineage: Eukaryota; Fungi; Glomeromycota.